CAAUUAUUCUAAUGUUGUUUCGUCUUAUGGUGUCACUUAUCUCUCAAAUUCUCCCCUCGUGGCCCAGUAGCUGUUUGUACCUCUUUUGCUCAGCUUCUUUAUUCUCUGUCAUUUGGUCUUCUAUAUUGCUAAUUCUUUCUUCUGCCUCAUUUAUCCUAGCAGAGAGAGCCUCCAUUUUUGAUUGCACCUCAUUAAUAGCUUUUUUGUUUUCAACUUGGUUAGAUUUUAGUUCUUUUAUUUCUCCAGAAAGGGCUUUUAUAUCUCCCGAGAGGGUUUCUCUAAUAUCUUCCAUGCCUUUUCGAGACCGGCUAGAACCUUGAGAAUCAUCAUUCUGAACUCUAGAUCUGACAUAUUACCAAUGUCUGUAUUGAUUAGGUCCCUAGCCUUCGGUACUGCCUCUUGUUCUUUUUUUUUGUGGUGAAUUUUUCCGCCUUGGCAUUUUGUCCAGACAAGAGUAUAUGAAGGAGCAAGUAAAAUACUAAAAGGGUGGCAACAACCCCAGGAAAAUAUGCUUUAACCAAAUCAGAAGAGAUCCCAAAUCGUGAGUGGGGAGAAUGGGGAUAAAAAGAGGUUCAGAAAGAAAAAAAAGAAAAGAAAAUUAAAAAAAGAAAACGAAUAAGGAAAAAAUAUAAAAAAGAAAAAAUACAUAUAGUACAUAAACUAGUUAAAAAUGUUAAAAAAGAAAAGGGUAAAGGUUAAAACAAAUUUAGCAGAAUAAGAGAAAAAAAAUUGAAAAAGAAAAAAAAGUUAAAUUAACUGCAAGAUUAAAGAGUCAUGGGGAGAAAGCCAUGAGUUCCGUGCUUUGCUUUCUCCUCCUCUGGAAUUCUGCUGCUCUCCUUGGUAUUUAAACUGCACUCCUUGGUAGGUGAACUUAGUCUUGGCUAGAUUUCUUGUUGAUCUUCUGGGGGAGGGGCCUGGUGUAGUGAUUCUCAAGUGUCUUUGCCCCAGGCGGAAUUGCACCACCCUUACCAGGGGCCGGGCUGAGUAAUCCACUUGGGUUUGCUUUCAGGAGCUUUUGUUCCCUGAGCGCUUUCCGUAGAGUUCCGAAGGACGGGAAUACAAAUGGCGGCCUCCUGGUCUCCGCCGGGAGGAGCCGAGAGCCCGGGGCUGCACUCCUCAGUGCGUCAUCAGAGAACAGCGCCCAGUUACUCCUGUCUGCCUGACCUCUGGCGGCGCUGGAGCUCACUGAGCUUGCGACCCGUUUAAGACUGGUGAAAAUUUAUUACUGGCUGACCCCAACCUGGGAACCCACUUCGGGUCACUCUAAUCUGAAAGAAUUAGUCCCAAGGAUCUAAAACUUCAAGCUCUGAAAAAGGUUAGCCAAGCAAACGAGAGGCCAAGCAAACGAGAGGCAGAGGUUGAACGUCAAGCCUGCCCUGAAGUCAGCUGUUCUGUCUCCCACCCCAGCCGGCUUCUUGGUUAAUGGACCUCAGUUUCUUAGCACAAGAUGGAGGGGUCGGUGGGAGAAGCAGACUCCCCGUUGAGCAGAGAGCCUGAUGCAGGGCUCCAUCCCAGGACCCCGGGAUCAUGAUCUGAGCUGAAGAUAGACGCUUCACUGACUGACCCCCCAGGUCUACAUUGCGCCGUGUUUGUGAGGAAAAGGGAUCUUGGCACUGCUUGCUGCGUGCGGCUCCGCGUCUGGCUUGGGCCCCCUUUGCAUGUAAGAGCUUCAAAAAUAUGUGAAUAGUGAGUAAAAGAAGUGGUAACAAAAGAAUUUUUGGACAUAUUCAUUGUUUUCGGCUUGAUAGGACAAAUCGCGUCACCUUGCUGAUGAUAGAACUCCAAGUAAAUUCUAAAGAAGCGUGUUCCAUCAAUCCUAUUUUAUUACACAAAUAACUCUCUUUCUGCUUUGUGUCCGGAACAACUGAUAUCCUUAUUUCAGCUCCUUAUUUCUAGCAAGCAGCUUAUUUUCUUGCUACAGUGAUCUAAUUUGCCAAUUGAAUCACUAAUAACCAGUUUCUGACCCCUGCUUCUCCACCUCAAGAAUAAUUUAACAGAUAGAUAGUACUUUGUUUCAAAGUCCAUUAGAAUAUCAGAAGAAUGCUUUGUUAAUGACUGAAAGCAUGUGAUAAAAUUUAAUUAUAUAAUUAAUCGUUGGUAGAGAAGUAGAUAAUUUGGUUUUACCCUUACUCUAAUCAUACCUCUAUUCUGUUUUUUAAAUAGGUAAACUGUUUAUUUUUAUUUGAUAGUCUACUAGCCACU
Molecule: long non-coding RNA, 2202 nt
Organism: Mustela lutreola (European mink)
Lineage: Eukaryota; Metazoa; Chordata; Mammalia; Carnivora; Mustelidae
Exons: 5
Source: RefSeq, a predicted model, not a curated record